Molecule: ribosomal RNA, 497 nt
Filed under: uncultured bacterium
Lineage: Bacteria
Description: partial 16S ribosomal RNA
Rfam family: Bacterial small subunit ribosomal RNA
Source: RNAcentral
GACGAACGCUGGCGGCGUGCCUAAUACAUGCAAGUUGAGCGCUGAAGGUUGGUACUUGUAUCAACUGGAUGAGCAGCGAACGGGUGAGUAACGCGUGGGGAAUCUGCCUUUGAGCGGGGGACAACAUUUGGAAACGAAUGCUAAUACCGCAUAAAAACUUUAAACACAAGUUUUAAGUUUGAAAGAUGCAAUUGCAUCACUCAAAGAUGAUCCCGCGUUGUAUUAGCUAGUUGGUGAGGUAAAGGCUCACCAAGGCGAUGAUACAUAGCCGACCUGAGAGGGUGAUCGGCCACAUUGGGACUGAGACACGGCCCAAACUCCUACGGGAGGCAGCAGUAGGGAAUCUUCGGCAAUGGACGAAAGUCUGACCGAGCAACGCCGCGUGAGUGAAGAAGGUUUUCGGAUCGUAAAACUCUGUUGGUAGAGAAGAACGUUGGUGAGAGUGGAAAGCCCAUCAAGUGACGGUAACUACCCAGAAAGGGACGGCUAACUACGUG